This 253-nucleotide ribosomal RNA is filed under the name uncultured bacterium. Its description in RNAcentral is "partial 16S ribosomal RNA". It matches the Rfam family "Bacterial small subunit ribosomal RNA", at positions 524 to 776 of the family's 1533-position model. The record is from RNAcentral.
UACAGAGGUCUCAAGCGUUGUUCGGAUUCAUUGGGCGUAAAGGGGGUGUAGGUGGCGCGCUAAGUCGGGUGUGAAAUUUCGGAGCUUAACUCCGAAACUGCAUUCGAUACUGGCGUGCUUGAGGACUGGAGAGGAGACUGGAAUUCAUGGUGUAGCAGUGAAAUGCGUAGAGAUCAUGAGGAAGACCAGUGGCGAAGGCGGGUCUCUGGACAGUUCCUGACACUGAGACACGAAGGCUAGGGGAGCAAACGGG